Molecule: ribosomal RNA, 648 nt
Filed under: Ficotylus laselvae
Lineage: Eukaryota; Metazoa; Nematoda; Chromadorea; Rhabditida; Neotylenchidae
Description: eukaryotic LSU rRNA
Rfam family: Eukaryotic large subunit ribosomal RNA
Source: RNAcentral
GCCCCACGAAUAUACCCAAGAAAAAAACCAAACCAGAGAAAAACUGAAAGGACCCGCGGUCCGUGGUGUGCCUGCUUUUCCUUGCUAUGUGGUUUUGUUUGUUUGUCCCGGNUUUUAGGUGCUCGGUCAUUUCCGCGCGUUUGUGUGGUUGCUUUGCCGGGUUGCAUGCGCCGGUAAACGUUCUGCAGCGGUACAACCUUUGUACUUACGGGCCCGUCUUCGGUCGGGUAACCAGUGCGAAGGGAAGACUGUUUGUGGGGUGUUGUUGUUGAGCUUGGCUUACGGAUCGGGCGGCGGUUGAGUUGGUUGCGGGACGUGUUCGCAUGCGGAUGCCCUCGUGAUUGAUUUGGCUGUUUGUUUGUUGUCCACUUGCUCGUUUCGGUGUAAUAGUUGGUCAUCUAUCCGACCCGUCUUGAAACACGGACCAAGGAGUUUAUCACAUGUGCGAGUCAUUGAGCGUUAAAAACUCAAAGGCGGAAUGAAAGUGAAGGUAGGCUUGAUCUACUGAUAUGCGAUCCUUACUGCUGCGGCUUUGAUGCGCAGCAUAGCCCCAUUCUUAUUGCUUGUCAAUAGGUUGGAGGUAGAGCACAUUUGAUGAGACCCGAAAGAUGGUGAACUAUGCAUGAGCAGGAUGAAGCCAGAGGAAAA